Long non-coding RNA from Solea senegalensis (Senegalese sole), 764 nucleotides. RefSeq lists it as uncharacterized. The transcript has 3 exons. The record is from RefSeq and is a predicted model, not a curated record. Lineage: Eukaryota; Metazoa; Chordata; Actinopteri; Pleuronectiformes; Soleidae.
UGUUCUUGCAUGUGUCUUAUCUUGUAGUUUUGCUCCUUGAGUGUGUAUUGACUUCCUGUUUUAUUUUCGAUUCAGUUAUUUUUUACUUCCUGUGUUGGUUGUGAUUUCCCUCCACUGUGAUUGCGUGACGAGUUUCACCUGAGUGCAGUUCUCCCGGCCUCCUCAGCACCUUUGCUUUAGCUUGGUUCCCUCUUCUCACUCCUUGUGUUCUUAAGCCUCUCUGAUGUGGGAGGUUGAAAGCUGGCCGUCCGUCAGAUGACAGAUGGCUUUCUCCAACACUACACUGCGCCUGCAGCCUCCUGCUCACCCUGCACGCUGGUCACCUCUUUAGCCCUCUCACAUAAGGCGACAGACGGUUCCUCAGACUGACACCAUCGCUCAUAACGUGCAUCUGCUCCAAAUCAUCAGCCUCUUUCCCAUCCACUCCACACUGAGCCUAUACAUAGCCUGCAGGUUUGGGUGGAUUUCCUGAUGUGGGGAAAAGUGUGUGGCACUUUGAAGACGGCGCGUCACCUGAGAGCUGCGAUGCACGGGACUUCAGAGGAGAAACCCAGAACAUCUGCCAGGCAGGAUGUCUGACACAGACGCCGACAGGGAGCGCGACAUCAGUGAAACACACAUCCGAGAAGUAUAAAUCAAACCCGACGUGCAGUUCACAGACGACACGGGAUGGAAAGUUAAAAACAAGAAAAAGACGUGCUAGAAAUCCAACUUAUCACGUAUGAGGAGAAGGGAAAUGUAGAACUGCAGAUGUGCGAGUGAGA